This 223-nucleotide ribosomal RNA is filed under the name uncultured bacterium. RNAcentral describes it as "partial 16S ribosomal RNA". It matches the Rfam family "Bacterial small subunit ribosomal RNA", at positions 116 to 334 of the family's 1533-position model. The record is from RNAcentral. RNAcentral also lists the same sequence under 1 other name.
CGUAGGUAACCUGCCUGGUAGCGGGGGAUAACUAUUGGAAACGAUAGCUAAUACCGCAUAAGAGUAGAUGUUGCAUGACAUUUGCUUAAAAGGUGCAAUUGCAUCACUACCAGAUGGACCUGCGUUGUAUUAGCUAGUUGGUGGGGUAACGGCUCACCAAGGCGACGAUACAUAGCCGACCUGAGAGGGUGAUCGGCCACACUGGGACUGAGGCACGGCCCAG